GGGGGCGCAGCAGGUGCGAAACCUCCACNAUGUACGAAAGUGCGAUGGGGGAAUCCUAAGUGCUGGCGCAAUGCGUCAGCUUUUCUCGAGUCUAAAUCGCUUGAGGAAUAAGUGGUGGGUAAGACCGCUGCCAGCCGCCGCGGUAAUAGCGGCGCCACAAGUGGCAUCCAUUUAUAUUGGGUUUAAAGCAUCCGUAGCCGGCCUGAUAAGUCUACUGUGAAAUCCUAUAGAAAACUAUAGGGCGUGCGGUAGAAACUAUUACGGCUUGGGACCAGGAGAGGUCAGAGGUACUCCUAGGGUAGCGGUAAAAUGCUGUAAUCCUAGGGGGACCACCUGUGGCGAAGGCGUCUGACUGGAAUGGAUCCGACGGUGAGGGAUGAAAGCUAGGGGAGCGACCCGGAUUAGAUACCCGGUUAGUCCUAGCUGUAAACGAUGCUCACUUGGUAUUGGAAAUCUUUCGUGGAUUUCCAGUGCCGAAGGGAAACCGUUAAGUGAGCCACCUGGGGAGUACGGUCGCAAGGCUGAAACUUAAAGGAACUUGGNCGGGGGAGC
RNAcentral lists this ribosomal RNA (552 nucleotides) under uncultured archaeon. Its description in RNAcentral is "bacterial SSU rRNA". It matches the Rfam family "Archaeal small subunit ribosomal RNA", at positions 326 to 877 of the family's 1478-position model. The record is from RNAcentral.